GCGUUUGCUUCAGCAGCACAUAUACUAAAACAUGAACAAUGUAGAAAAGAUUAGCAUGCCCCCUGCAUGAGGAUGACACGCAAAUUUAAAAUAAAAAUCAGUUUAUU
RNAcentral lists this small nuclear RNA (107 nucleotides) under Salvator merianae (Argentine black and white tegu). The record is from RNAcentral. Lineage: Eukaryota; Metazoa; Chordata; Lepidosauria; Squamata; Teiidae.